This 1061-nucleotide ribosomal RNA is filed under the name Bionectriaceae sp. RNAcentral's name for it is "eukaryotic LSU rRNA". The stretch from base 486 to 1061 matches the Rfam family "Eukaryotic large subunit ribosomal RNA", at positions 1 to 587 of the family's 3401-position model. The record is from RNAcentral. Lineage: Eukaryota; Fungi; Ascomycota; Sordariomycetes; Hypocreales; Bionectriaceae.
AGCGCCUUCGGCACUCCACCCACUGUGAACAUACCUACGUUCCCCUGGCGGGCUCAGCGCGCGCGGCCUCGGCCGCGGGCGUCCGCCGGGGGCAAAACCAAACCCGUUUUUACAGCGUGUAUCUGAGGGGCGACAGCCCGUAAAACAAAUAAAUCAAAACUUUCAACAACGGAUCUCUUGGCUCUGGCAUCGAUGAAGAACGCAGCGAAAUGCGAUAAGUAAUGUGAAUUGCAGAAUUCAGUGAAUCAUCGAAUCUUUGAACGCACAUUGCGCCCGCCAGUACUCUGGCGGGCAUGCCUGUCCGAGCGUCAUUUCAACCCUCGGGAACCCCCAGCGGGUGCCCGGUGUUGGGGCUCAGCGGCCGCCUGGCGGCCCCUGUCCCCUAAAUUCAGUGGCGGUCGCGCCGCAGCCUCCCCUGCGUAGUAGCACACCUCGCACCGGAGAGCGGCUCGGCCACGCCGUGAAACCCCCCAAUUUUUCAAGGUUGACCUCGGAUCAGGUAGGAAUACCCGCUGAACUUAAGCAUAUCAAUAAGCGGAGGAAAAGAAACCAACAGGGAUUGCCUCAGUAACGGCGAGUGAAGCGGCAACAGCUCAAAUUUGAAAUCUGGCCGCAAGGCCCGAGUUGUAAUUUGCAGAGGAUGCUUUUGGCGAGGUGCCUUCCGAGUUCCCUGGAACGGGACGCCACAGAGGGUGAGAGCCCCGUACGGUCGUGCCACCGAGCCUCUGUAAAGCUCCUUCGACGAGUCGAGUAGUUUGGGAAUGCUGCUCUAAACGGGAGGUGUACGUCUUCCAAAGCUAAAUACCGGCCAGAGACCGAUAGCGCACAAGUAGAGUGAUCGAAAGAUGAAAAGCACUUUGAAAAGAGGGUUAAAAAGUACGUGAAAUUGUUGAAAGGGAAGCAUUUAUGACCAGACUUGGGCUUGGUUGAACAUCCGGCGUUCUCGCCGGUGCACUCUGCCAGCCCAGGCCAGCAUCAGUUUGCCCCGGGGGAUAAAGGCGGCGGGAAUGUGGCUCCCCACGGGGAGUGUUAUAGCCCGUCGUGCAAUGCCCUGGGGCGGA